Molecule: long non-coding RNA, 409 nt
Organism: Perca fluviatilis (European perch)
Lineage: Eukaryota; Metazoa; Chordata; Actinopteri; Perciformes; Percidae
Exons: 3
Source: RefSeq, a predicted model, not a curated record
ACAGCAACAACCCCGACAACAGCAACAACAACAGGAAAUACAACAGCUGAAACAUCCACCAACGCAGAGACUCCUUAUCCGUGGCAGAUGUGUGUUCGUACGGUGAUUGGAAUCCUCUAUUUAAUCAUCAUGAUCAGCAUCACCGUCACCACCUGGAGGAAAGCUCGACAAACAGAAGCGACACACAGCAGAAACAGGAAGUGAUGUCUGAUCCUCCAUCACGCAGCAACAAGAGCAUCUAAAAACUAUCAGCAAGUAAAACAAGACAACACAAGGGAGAACAGGAAACCUUCAAGAUAAAACAGGAAGUGGAAAAUAAAACAGAAAAUGUAAUACGAACUCAAAACAACAACUUGACAAAGGGACGAAACAUGAUACAGACUAUAUAUUCUUCGCAUUUCUGCACUCA